Molecule: long non-coding RNA, 2682 nt
Organism: Amphiprion ocellaris (clown anemonefish)
Lineage: Eukaryota; Metazoa; Chordata; Actinopteri; Pomacentridae
Exons: 2
Source: RefSeq, a predicted model, not a curated record
GGUGGGGAACGGGAGCGCAGGAGGGAACCGGAGCUCCCGACCCGCCGGUUGUUUUGGCUCCGGAAGCCCGUGCCCUCCUCCGAAGAUGCUGUCGGCCCGGUCCCCUCAGCAGGGAGUGUGGUCCGGGAAGCCCCGCUGCCCGCUGACAGUGGUAGUGGAGGAGACAGUAACCUCCAGGACAGGGAGGCUGUCUGUCUGCCUGGACCUCCUGUCAGACUCUAGAGUUUUCCCUGGGAAAUGAUCCGGGUGUUUUGAUUAAUUGUUGUAAAAUUAGUGGUGAAUUGUUUAUAUAAACAUUUUAGUAAAAAUAAAUAAGACUCACAUUUAUCCUUUUUUCUGUAGUUAUAUUGUCUAAAAUUGUGGAGGAUAUUUAAAGCUUAAAAUGAAGUGUUUUUAGAAUCUUUAAAUGUAUUCUUUUUAUGUCUUUUUGUUUUGUUUGAUUUACAAAGUAAACACUACGUUAUCAACCAUACAUUAAAUUGCAACAUUCCAUAAUACAUAAAAGUCUCAAAGAGGCACUUCACUAGAACUUACUAGAAUUUACUCACUAACUUUUGUUUUAAUGAUGGCAGCUAAAGAAGCCUUUAAGUUCCUCAAGUUAAUGACUGUUUUGUAAUGCAAUUUGCACUUUUAUUUACUACAAAGACGUGUUGGAACAAUUUAUUUUAUUUUAUAAGAACAGUAAAUGUUUAAAAGUUUAAGUAUUAUUAAAGAGUUUAUUUAAAUACAAACACUGGGUUUUUUUCUUUCAUAAUGUCGAUAAUCGUGAAUAAUCGUAAAAUCACAAUAUUUCCUUCCACAAUAAUCGUGGCUCAAAAAAUUGAAAUCGUGACAACCCUAGCUCCAACUGAAACUUGAAUUAGAACUUAGAAGUAAAUCGUUCCAUCUGAAAGGAUUUAGUUGCAUUAAUAACCUCAUAACAUUCUAAUUUUUAUUCCAGUCUUGGCUGGAAAUAGAAUCUCUGUAUUGAUUCAGGUAAAAACUGAACUUCACAGCAUGUUGAAGCAAAACAACCAGAUGAAAACUGUGAUGGUGUUGGAUUGUCAGACCGUAAUGUUGCAGCUCAAAGCAGCUUUUCUAGCUCAGUUCAUUCUGACAUUCAGCUAUGAAUCAACACAGCAGAUGGUGAUCCAUGCUGUGGAAGUCUCACAUCUCCUGAUUUAAUGGAGCUGCUUUGCACUUUUUACACUGUUUAUUCACCAACACUUUAUUUAAUAAAAGUCCCAUCUAGUUUUUAUGAGGAAUGUGAUGUUUUAAUUUCUCUGUGAAUAACUGCAGUCUAAUGGAACAGCUGGAGUUGUAACAUCUGUCCUGAUAUUGAUCAUGAAGUAUUGAUCACAAUACUUAUGGUUAGCAGUCAUCCCUGAAGUUUUACAUUAAAAUCUUUACUUGUGUUGUGAACUUUGGUAAGAAGCAGAAACGUUAGCGUUGCCAUGGAUACAUGAGUGUUAAAUUCUGUCCAUGUUUCCAUUUUGGGAAAUGCAGUCCAGUUCCAGAAUGUGGAGGAAUUUAGUCUCACAAUCACAGACAACAAAUAUUAUCUGGAAGUCCGGUUAUUGUUGUUUAUCAGCACAAUACAAAAAGAUUAAUGUUAGAAAUAUUCCAGUUAAGACUCUAGAAUAUCAUGAUUUAUGAAAAUUUACCUCAAUAAUAUGAAUGUUCAGGUUAAGAUUGUACAGUGAUAUUUAUUAUGUAAGUUUAGCUGAUUGAAGUUUAUGACUCUGCACUAAAAUAUUAUUUAAAUUGACAUCAUUAUUAUAAUAUUUAGGGUCAGACCCUACAGUAUUGAGAUUAAGAAAUAAAAUAUUUUAUAAAAUGUAAAUACACUGAACUCAUUUGGAUAUAUUUAAGUGAGACUACAAUAUUAUUUGACACAAAUGUAUCUAAAUCAAAAUUUUAAUAAUUUUCACGCCAAACAUUUACUGGACUGAUUUAAACAUUAAAAUCACUCCUUUCUAAUCCUCUGCUGUACGUUCAAACCUGAGGCCUUAACUAGAAACACACAAGUAUCUGAUUGAAGGAACUUCUGCAGAGUCCUGGUUCCAGAACAUGAUGAUAGAAUUAUAGACAAACUUGAACAAAAGCUGCCUGUGAGUUUACAGGUUUUUAUGUCAGAUUUCUUCAGUAAUUUAAUGAGAGUUAUCAGCAAAAAUCAAGUGUUCAUUUGAUGAACUUCAUUUCCUAGAACAUACAGAAUUAGAGCUCAUAUCUUUGGCAGCUGUAAAGUUUCUGCUCCUUCAAAGUUCACAACACAAUGAAUGAAUUCCUAAAACACUCUAAAUGCUGGAGAGCGUUUGUGAUGCUGAAGCAGUGAGCAGUUUUUCUGUUUCUUCUCUGGAGAUGCACAAUGAGGGACGUCUGCAGCGACUGAGAAAGAGUCUCACCACAUCCUGACAUGAGGAAAAAGACUUUAUUGAAGACUACAAUGAGAAAAACUAUCAGACAGCAGACGGCUGCAUUCAAGUCUGUAGCUGCUGAAUUCAUGGAUGAAUCAUCUGGCACUAGAGAGGAAGACCAUCAAACAUCCACGUCAGCUGAUGGAGGUCCAAGAGUCUCACCCAACAAACAACCUACAGAGUGAAGAGCUCAAAUCUGAUUGGACGGCCUCCUAUUCAGCCACAUGUGUGAACAAAUGUCUCUAAGCUGAUUUGUUUUCUAAAAUAAAUCUAGUUUGAGUCCUAA